UUCUUUUAGUUUAACUUAAAAGUAAAUCCUGCCCACUGUGUAAUGAAGGGCUGCGGUAUUCUGACCGUACUAAGGUAGCAUAAUCAUUAGCCUUUUAAUUGAAGGAUUGUAUGAAUGGUUUAACAAACAUUUUUUUUGUUUUAUAGAUUUUUUUAACUUAAAUUUUAAGUGAAAAUGCUUAAAUUUUUUAAAAAGACGACAAGACCCUAUAGAGUUUUAUAACAAUAUUUAAUUUAUUUUUUAGUAGAUUUUUAUUUUAUUUUAGUUAUUUUGUUGGGGCAACAAGGGAAUUAAUAAAACUUCUCUGUUUUAGUUUAAAAUAUUUUUAAAUCUUAAUUUUUAAAAAUUAAAAAAUUACCUUAGGGAUAACAGCGUUAUAUUUUUUGAGAGUUCUUAUCGACAAAAUUGAUUGCGACCUCGAUGUUGAAUUAAGGAAUCUAUUUGGAGCAGUUUUUAAAUUAGAUAGUCUGUUCGACUAUAAAAUUCUU
This 488-nucleotide ribosomal RNA is filed under the name Orchesellides sinensis. RNAcentral's name for it is "partial 16S ribosomal RNA". It matches the Rfam family "Archaeal large subunit ribosomal RNA", at positions 1908 to 2666 of the family's 2987-position model. The record is from RNAcentral. Lineage: Eukaryota; Metazoa; Arthropoda; Collembola; Entomobryomorpha; Orchesellidae.